CCGGUUUUAAUGUUUAUGCCUUAUAUCUUCCUUUUGGGCUGAUUCAACUAUGCUGGUAAAGUGGAAAAAGCUGAAAAAUUAAGUAUUGAAAGGUCCGAAGAUCCAUAGCUACUGCAGGACCAUCAAUGCAGAGCUUAGUUGCAGAACUUGGCAGGGUGAGAUUUGAGGGAAUGCCGAGAUAGGGUACCAUGGUAAAGACUGAGGACAUACUACUAUGCCAUCCAAAGCUAAUAUGUGGAUACUGGUCGACCUCGUUCUUGCACAUCUUUCACCACUCUCAAGCAGUAAGGAAUUAAGG
Molecule: long non-coding RNA, 298 nt
Filed under: Nicotiana benthamiana
Lineage: Eukaryota; Viridiplantae; Streptophyta; Magnoliopsida; Solanales; Solanaceae
Description: long non-coding RNA (NBEN_LNC021105)
Source: RNAcentral